AAUGAACGUUGGCGGCGUGGAUGAGGCAUGCAAGUCGUGCGGAAGUGCCCGCAAGGGUACUUUAGCGGCGAAAGGGAGAGUAACACGUGGGUAACCUACCCCUAGAUCUGGGAUAGCUGCGGGAAACUGCAGGUAAUACCGGAUAAUGUCCCCGGACCAAAGGUGUGAUUCCGUCUAGGGAGGGGCCCGCGUCCUAUUAGCUAGUUGGUGAGGUAACGGCUCACCAAGGCGAAGAUGGGGUAUCGGGCGUGAGAGCGUGACCCGACUCACUGGGACUGAGACACUGCCCAGACACCUACGGGUGGCUG
Molecule: ribosomal RNA, 308 nt
Filed under: uncultured Planctomycetota bacterium
Lineage: Bacteria; Pseudomonadati; Planctomycetota
Description: bacterial SSU rRNA
Rfam family: Bacterial small subunit ribosomal RNA
Source: RNAcentral